RNAcentral lists this ribosomal RNA (454 nucleotides) under uncultured bacterium. RNAcentral's name for it is "partial small subunit ribosomal RNA". It matches the Rfam family "Bacterial small subunit ribosomal RNA", at positions 370 to 809 of the family's 1533-position model. The record is from RNAcentral.
UAUGGGCGCACGCUGACCACCCAAGUACCGUGAAGGAUGACUGCCCUNCNGGUUGUAACCUNCUUUUAUAAAGGAAUAAAGNCGGGUAUGUAUCCCCGUUUGCAUGUNCUUUAUGAAUAAGGANCGNCUAACUCCGUGCCCACCACCCCCGGUAAUNCGGAGGANCCGAGCCGUUANCCGGAUUUAUUGGGUUUAAAGGGAGCCGUAGAUGGAUGUUUAAGNCAGUUGUGAAAGUUUGCGGCCNCACCCGUAAAAUUGCAGUUGAUNCUGGAUAUCCUUGAGUGCCAGUUGAGGCCAGGCCGGAAUUCGUGGUGUACCGGUGAAAUGCUUAGAUAUCNCGAAGAACNCCGAUUGCGAAGGCAGCCCUGCCUAAGCCUGCCANCUGANCAUUGAGGCCUCGAAAGUGUGGGUAUCAAACAGGAUUAGAUNCCCUGGUAGUCCCAAGGGCGAAUUC